CCUACGGGUGGCAGCAGUGGGGAAUAUUGGGCAAGGGGCGCAAGCCUAACCCAGCAACGCCGCGUGAAGGAAGAAGGCUUUCGGGUUGUAAACUUCUUUUCUCAGGGACGAAGAAAGUGACGGUAACUGAGGAAUAAGCCACGGCUAACUACGUGCCAGCAGCAGCGGUAAUACGUAGGUGGCAAGCGUUAUCCGGAUUUAUUGGGUGUAAAGGGCGUGUAGGCGGGAGCGCAAGUCAGAUGGGAAAACUCAGGGCUCAACCCUGAGCCUGCAUUUGAAACUGUGUUUCUUGAGUGCUGGAGCGGCAAUCGGAAUUCCGUGUGUAGCGGUGCAAUGCUUAGCUAUACGGAGGAACACCAGUGGCGAAGGCGGAUUGCUGGACAGUAACUGACGCUGAGGCGCGAAAGCGUGGGUAGCAAACAGGAUUAGAUACACUGGUAGUC
This 443-nucleotide ribosomal RNA is filed under the name uncultured bacterium. RNAcentral describes it as "partial 16S ribosomal RNA". It matches the Rfam family "Bacterial small subunit ribosomal RNA", at positions 338 to 795 of the family's 1533-position model. The record is from RNAcentral.